Molecule: ribosomal RNA, 1423 nt
Filed under: Sulfobacillus acidophilus
Lineage: Bacteria; Bacillati; Bacillota; Clostridia; Eubacteriales; Clostridiales Family XVII. Incertae Sedis
Also listed under: 1 other name
Description: 16S ribosomal RNA
Rfam family: Bacterial small subunit ribosomal RNA
Source: RNAcentral
AUACAUGCAAGUCGAGCGGUCGACGGCUCUUCGGAGGCGUCGGCAGCGGCGGACGGGUGAGGAACACGUGAGUAACCGGGCGUCCGGUGGGGGAUAUCGGGCCGAAAGGCGCGGCAAUCCCGCAUGCGCCCCGGGCGGCGCCAGCCGCCGGGGGGAAAGGCCUUCGGGUCGCCGGACGGGGGAGCUCGCGGCCCAUUAGCUAGUUGGGGGGGUAACGGCCUCCCAAGGCGACGAUGGGUAGCCGGCCUGAGAGGGUGAUUCGGCCACACUCGGACUGAGACACGGCCCAGACUCCUACGGGAGGCAGCAGUAGGCUUUCUUCCACAAUGGGCGCAAGCCUGAUGGAGCAACGCCGCGUGAGUGAAGACGGCCUUCGGGAUGUAAAGCUCGUGUCUGUCGGGACGAGGACCGCGCUGUAGGGCGCGGGGGGACGGUACCGGCGGAGGAAGCCCCUGCAAACUACGUGCCAGCAGCCGCGGUAAGACGUAGGGGGCAAGCGUUGUCCGGAAUUACUGGGCGUAAAGGGCGUGUAGGCGGUUGCGCACGUAGCGGUUUUCAGCCGUCGGCUCACCCGACGGAGGGCGGCUAAACGGCGCAGCUCGAGGGCAGGAGAGGUGCAUGGAAUUCCUGGUGGAGCGGUGAAAUGCGUAGAGAUCAGGAAGAACACCGGUGGCGAAGGCGGUGCACUGGCCUGGCCCUGACGCUGAGGCGCGACAGCGUGGGGAGCGAACGGGAUUAGAUACCCCGGUAGUCCACGCCGUAAACGAUGGAUACGAGGUGUCGCGGGGGUCCACCUCGCGGUGCCGGAGCUAACGCACUCAGUAUCCCGCCUGGGGAGUACGGCCGCAAGGUUGAAACUCAAAGGAAUUGACGGGGGGCCCGCACAAGCAGUGGAGCAUGUGGUUUAAUUCGACGCAACGCGCAGAACCUUACCAGGGCUAGACGGGACCGUGAGCCGCGCGAAAGCGCGGGGCUGCUUCGGCAGAGCGGUCGUCAGGUGCUGCAUGGUUGUCGUCAGCUCGUGUCGUGAGAUGUUGGGUUAAGUCCCGCAACGAGCGCAACCCUCGUCGGCUGUUGCCAGCGAUUCGGUCGGGCACUCAGCCGAGACAGCCGGGGACGACCCGGAGGAAGGUGGGGAUGACGUCAAAUCCGCAUGGCCUUCAUGUCCUGGGCUACACACGUGCUACAAUGGCGCCGACAACGGGCCGCGACCUCGCGAGGGGGAGCGAAUCCUUCAAACGGCGUCUCAGUUCGGAUUGCAGGCUGCAACUCGCCUGCAUGAAGCCGGAAUUGCUAGUAAUCGCGGAUCAGCAUGCCGCGGUGAAUCCGUUCCCGGGCCUUGUACACACCGCCCGUCACACCACGAGAGUCGGCCACACCCGAAGCCGGUCGGUCGAACCCCGUCAGGGGACGACCCCGUCGA